Molecule: long non-coding RNA, 15132 nt
Organism: Equus caballus (horse)
Lineage: Eukaryota; Metazoa; Chordata; Mammalia; Perissodactyla; Equidae
Source: RefSeq, a predicted model, not a curated record
GUCUGUCCGGGUUCAAGUAGACAACAUCAAAGUAACUGGGAGAAGGUACAAAGAGUUCUCCUUUCUCUGCAAAAGGAAAGACACAGGCUUAUUUAUUCUGGAGAAACAAGCCUUCUUUGUUCCACAUUCAUAUGGUGUUUUAGGGUGGGGACGGAAUUCCUAGACACAACAUCAAAAGUCUUCAUGGCCCACAGUUCUAUGACCAAGUUUGCUGACAUGGAGGUCUUUGCCCCGGCUCUGCAUGAGAUCAAGAAAGGGAAUGCAGAUUUAUCAUCAUCGGGACGGAUGCUCCCCUAUGGCUUACGAGCCUCAGCGUGUGCGGAUGCCAAAAAAAAUGGUUUUAUUCUGAGGAUGCAUCUCAGAUACCCAAAUGUUUCACCGCUGUGAGAUCCACAUUCUUUUCUGAUGUAGUCCAGACUCUCCUGUGGCAUGUUACAGCAACAUCUAGACGGUCGCUGCUUUAAAUUUAGCACCCAGCAAAAUGUCGGGUUGGUUGGUUUUAAACACAGCCUGUUCUGGUUCACCGCUGAAUAGCUGCUUUGCCCGCCAGUUCUGCCAAGAGGUGCCUCUGUACUCCCACUCUGUCAACUGCCUCCUUUCAACUGAACGGAAAUCUCUCCUCCUUCAGGAAGCUUCUAAUUAGAAACUCUCUCAGGAAUCUCCCUGCUUUCCCCUAGUGACAUGAUUGGCUCCCUCGUUCUCAACCCCUAGGACACCCCUGGCUUCCUGUUAUUACAAUAGAUGGUAAAAACUUGAAGGGGAGGGACUGGCCAUAUUUGUUUUAUAUUCCCUAAGCAAGAAAUCUGUGCAGAGUACACAGUAAGGAUUCCCUAGAAACGAGUGGACUGAAAUUGAACUAACGCACAGCAUUGGAACUGGAAAGAACCUUGGAAAGCAGGCAUCCAGCUUCCAGGAUUACACAUGAGGAAACUGAGUCUCAGACAGCAGAAGGCACCUGAGACCCGCAGCUGGUGGACAACUGAACAAGCCUUCCUUAAGUCAAUUAAAUAUGUACUGAAUACCCACUCAUUAGAGAAGAAAAUGCAUAAAAGCACUUCAUGCCAUGUCCGGUUCAUUGUAUUAUCCUAAUUAUAUCUUCAUCACAUAUAAUUGCAGUUUAAUAGUAGUUGUGAAUCCUACUACAACAAUGACAAAUAACACACACCCAACAUUGGGGAGAGUUAGCAUGGAAAAUAAAAACCAGUGAACCGCAGGAUAUUACAAUCCAGUUAAGAAGUUAAAACUAAUAUACACGAAAAGAUCAGAGAAUAACUAACGGGGUCCUCACUACAAGAACAAUAGGAAUUCUGAAAAGGGAUUCAUCACUGUGGGUUGAAGAGAUCAAAGGCAGCUUUAAGGAGGAGGUGAGAUCAGCUGGUCUUUUAAAGUCGGAGGUGAAGGGACAGGGCCAGCAAGAGGGCUAAGAGGCAGUGAGCUCCUAGUCCAGGAAACUACAAGGGCGGGGAGGGAUCUGUUCUGCUCAUUUCACUGCCGUGGCCCCAGUGUGUGGUGGGUGGAAUGCACUUGAUAAUGACUCUAGGAUUUAAUUCAUCAAUUACAGAGGGAGACAGAGGGAGUGGGUUGGGAGUCACGGGGUUGAGAACAGCCAGCAGGGUGCAUGUCUCACUCACCAGGCAGCAGGGACCACCCUCAGUUCUGGAGGUGGGGGGUGAUGGGUCCACCUUGACCAGGGCAUAAGUCAAGAGAACAGGAGUGGGAGAGGCAGGAGGAAGCAGGGGAGGCUGAGAGGUUGUCACUGAGAUCAACAGCUGGUGCUAGGGCUGGGCUGGGGGUUGGCAGUGGAAUGGAAGCAAACUCAGGGAAUGUUUUCUUGGGGAAAAUUUAUGACAGACUGGGUAUAAGAAGUGGAAGAAAGAGAGACAUCAAUAAUGACCACUCAACUUGUAUUUCCAUGUGUCAAAAAGAAUGAGAUUUUAACGGACUGAAAUGGAAUCAUUGCAAAGAGAAAGGAGAGUGGGGUAGGCAAUAUGGUAGAUUCGCUAUUGGAGAUUUUGAAUUUGUGAUGACAUGUGCGUCAUUUAAGGGUGGACAUCCUAUGGGCAGUCGGAAAUAUAGGCCUGGCACAGAGGAGAUACAACAACACCAGUCUGGUAUUUGGGGGAGUUGUCUAAAAAGGGCUGAGAGUAGAAGCUAAAGGAAUAAAUAAACUCGACAAGAAAGAAAAGGUUGAGAACAAAAUCUAGAGCCAAACUAGGGACAAGCAGGAACAGAAGAGGUGACAGAAGAGAGAAGAAUCAGGAAAGGAAAUCAUCAAGGAGAAAGUUUCAAGAAACUGAUGCUUGAAAGCAUAAGAUGCCUUUAAUAGAGAUUCAUAACAACAAACACACAUGCAUUUGGCAGAAUGAAAGUCUUCGGCAACCACACAAAGGGGUUGUGAGAAUGGAGCUGGAUUUCAGCAGAUAAAAGACAGAAAAGUGGAGUAAGAAUGGAGGUGGAGGUCUUCCCAGGUGGACCAUAAUAUCUGGCCACAUUCCCCGUAGAGCUCGGAACCAGGGCACAAAAUCUGUAAGUAAUCCAUACACAUCUCAAGCACCUUCUGUGGGCCCAGCAUUUGCUAGCACUGUGGUGAGAGAAAGUAUAAGAUGCCAUUCCUACCAGGAAAGUAAUUGGGCACAUAAAAAUUUAGCUCUUGGGAAUAACCCUACCACCACCAUGAAAUCUGCAUGCUGUAUCUUUAGCAGGAUUGGGGGUGGAAGGAAGGAAAUGCCCUGGAAAACAUUUCUGGAUUUUUCCACCCCCUCUUAUGUGCAAACAAUAUAAAACAGGAAACAAAUUAUUUAGCAGGAUUACAGUUUAAAUACCUGGAUUUAAAAUGUCCAUUUCUACUCAUGGUCUCACAUAGUCCAGGUGGCGGGCUAUGGAAUAUGACCUCAGGCCUCUAGAGGAAGAGUGUGUGCCAUGGAACAGAGACAAGGAUUCACCGAGCCCUGCAGAGCGCUGUACAGAGACGCUUCCCCUAAAGAUCCCCCCUUCUCUUGUAGCCACUUAACAAAUCAGGGAUGGAAGAAGUGGAGGAUGUGAAAUUUGAAUGGAGCAAAAGGAGGUGCUGCAACAAAGUGCCAAAAAAAGUAUAAUUAAGAUAAGCAGAAUUUACAUUAAUUGGAGGCAGCUCUCCACAUCCCAGCAUAUCAGUUCACCUUGGGUCUUUUUCUUUCAAACUCACACUUCCAGACCUGACCUACAGUGAGCUCAGUGAUAGACCAGUCCAGGUUUCAAAGAGUGUUUGUUCAAAUUUAGGAUUCUGUGUGUGUGUGUGUGUGAAUGCACACGUGUGUAUGUAUCUCUUCCAAUGGACUCCCAUGGUCUUUAUAAACACAGAGUCUGUUCCCAUCAGUGGAGGCCUGAAGCUUCCUGCAUGUAGCCCAGCCUCCUCUCUUCUAGAGGGGGCCUAUAUCAUGGGAUGGCACAGAGGAGGGGGCUGACAGCUCCCAAAGUGGGAGACCACUGUGCAUCUCACAUAGGGCAGUGAGCAGCUGACAAUGGUGGGGGUCCAUGCUCCAUCCUUCACCCAGACUCUACAAGCCAAGGGCAGGAGGUAAGCCCUUGAUUACAAGCUAAUUAGACAUUGGUCCCAUAAAUACUUCAUGAGUGCGAAUUAAGUGGGAGGUUCUGGAGCAGAGAGGGAGGGACAUAAUGAUAUCUAAAGAGUUCCCUGCUCUUGAGUUCCCCUAUGCAAAGUGCCAUGGGAAUUCCAACAAGGGUGACCAGAAAAAGCUUCAGGGCUGAGAAUCUUGGGAGAAGGGAAGAAUUUCAACAUUCACAAAGAGGACACAUGAUUCCAAGGGAAGGAGAGCCCCUGAAAGGAGACAGAAGGCAGGCUCAGUGCAUAACUCACAAAUGUUUGACUGGAGCACAGAUGAGCAGAGAACUGUGGUGACCAGCAGAGGUCAUGUGAGAUGUAAGAUCAUGGACUUUGGAGCCAUGCUGAUGGGAUUCAAAUCCUAGGUCCACCAUGACCUUCAGACUCCUUAGUUAGAGCCACACCUUCCACAGUAUGGCUAUACCUACCUCUUCAGACUUGUAGUAACAACAACAAUAGUGGCUAACACUUAUGGAGUGCUGGGCAUGCCACUAAAAUUCUUCAAAUAAGUUCAAAGACUUGGAAUAGUCCUGGCACAGAGUAAGCGCUCCACACAUUUUGGAUAUUGUUAUUAGGAUGGUCCUCCUCAGGUCUCACAACCACAUCAGGAUGGAGGGACUGUUUUUCGUCUUUUACUGAUGAGGACACUAAAGUCAGAGAAGGACCUUGUCCAAGGUCUCCCAACUGUGAGCGGUAGAGCUUCUAAUCCGGUGUCACACAGACUCCGGUUACAAACGUUUGUAACUGAAAAGGGCAUGGAUUUCCAGCCUACCAAAAUGAGAUGAACUGAAGGAAUUUUGACUGACAGGUGAUGGAUGCCUCGAACUAGCUUGCAAAUCCUGUUAAAUAAGGUCACACACACACACACACACACACACACACACACACACACUCCCCAAACAAAAACAUGGAAGAUCUGAUUAAAUUAGCUCAGUGUUAUUCACGAUAACCCAAUUUCUAUUUUAAUGGGCAGUUAACCAUUCAGUAAGUAAUUGAAGGUGAAAAGGACAGAAAAACUACUAGUUAUUAAGCUUCUACUAUAUAACUGACUGUACUCGAGGUACACAUUAUUUUCUCCCAAUCCCAUGAGAUGAUGAUGAUGAAAAACUACCAAUAAUAACUAAAACUUUAGUGCUUAAUCUGUAUUAAGCACUGUUUUAAGCCCUUUACGUAUUUUGACUGAUUUCAUCCUCACAACAGCCCUGUGAGGUAGGGGUUGUUAUCCCCAUGUUGUAGGGGAGCGAACUGAGGUUAGAUAAGUUUCCAACUAAGUGUUGGAGACACAGGAGAAGAAGUGGAAGGUCAGUUUAAAAGACUCUCCCAGGGCCACUCAACUAUGUGAUUCAGAUACUCUGCCUUGCAGACUCACUGAUGCCUCCAUUGGCAUAAAACAGAAAUAUAAGGAGUAAGGUAAAAAGAUGUAAUCGAAUACCCUCCUUAUUCAACAUUCAUUACACAUUCACAAAUUAAUUAUUUAGCUUCCACCACAUACAAGGAACUGUGUCAAGCAUCAGGGGAGACUAAGAUUCGUGCAUAUUUGCUCAUCCUGUUUCAAGUGUUUGUACAAGAUCUGUAUUUACUCUAAGCCUUCUUUUAAGAAUGUGUCAGAAAAUAACUGUUCCAUGAUAUGCUGGGAAUGGAGCCAUAUCAACAGAGUACAAAUCUUGGGAAACAGACAGCUGGGUAAGAUGUAUCAAAGCUCCACAGUUUAGGAUGAAAAAAACAGAGACAGUGAUGAAAAGAAAUAUGUAUGAGGAAUCAGUAGAGAUGCAAAUAUACAAACCGAGUUACUUCAAAUGAAAAUAAUUCCAAGAUCAGAAAUUAAGCUGAAAUAUCCCUAUGUGUCUGUCUGUCUUUCUAUAUAUCUAUCAAUCUCCAUUCUUGAGUACUAUUCAAAGACUCAAACUCAACUCAAAACACUUGUAAUACAACUACAAUAUUUCUAUCCCAACAAGAGUUUGUUAAUGUAUGUGAAAUGUGACUCAGGUCUUUUCUACUGUAAUGACUUAUGCCUGAUUCUUCUGUACUAUUUAAAAAAUAGUCAUAAUAGGUAUUUCUCAACUCUGUCACAAGAGAUCACAUAUGUGAUGUCCCUCUAGUCCCACCAACAUCUCUUUAAUUUCUCCAGGUUCUUUCUUUGACACUGACCACAGAUUCUGACCUCGGUACUGGAAUGUCCCCCCUCUCUCCUCAUUCCAGCUCUUCCAGCCUGCUAAUGUCAUCCCUUCUUUUUGCCUCUCUUGCCAACCCACCUGGCUUCUUUACAAAGGAAAAGUCCCUCAUUUUCCUUCAGAGCUUUCCCAGAUUCUAAGAAAAUGAGAUGUGGAUGUCCCUUUGACACCACAAGCCAAAACCAGGCCUGAUACUCCAGAGAGUAACCAAGUAGAGAAUCCUGUCAGGCUGCCUAGAAUAAGGCAUAGCCUGUGGCCCAACAAUUCCACCCUUAGGAAUAAAUCAUCGCUACCUGGAUGUUUACUGAAGCAAUGACUGUGACUGUGAAAAAUGGAAAAUGAUCUUAGAGUCCAACAACAGAGGUUUAGUUAGACAUUCUAUGGUAUUACAACCAUAACAUUGAAAAAUAUUCAUGAUACACUAUGGAUGGAAGGAAUCAUAAAAGGGUUUGUACAUUUUGAUACAUUUUACAUAUAAAAAUAAAACUAGAAGAUUCUACACUACAGUGUUGACAAUGUAUCUUGGGAUAUUCAGUAACCUCUUCCUUCUUUUUACCUAUCUGUAGUUUCUAACUUUCUAAAUUAAAUGAGCAUCUACUAUUUUGUAAUAAGAAAAUAGAAACUAUAAUAAAAGCAAAACAAAUUAAACCACCUACGGAACUGCAGAACAGAUGCUCUGUGAACAUGUAAUUGUGGAUGGCUCAUUGGUGCUUUAAAAACCUGGAGGUGAGUUUUAUAUUACAUUGCCUUUUUAGAACGUGGAUUUCCAAAACACAGGACCAGAAGGUAUUCCUUUGGAGGCCGAAAAAUCCAGUACAUUAUUUUGCUCUGAUUAAUAGAAAUACUGCCAGUUGGAGUGGACAAAAUAAUGAAGAGUGCAGUGUGACUUUGUUCUCACACCUGCUCUACUCCCCUUGCGCGUGUGGCCUGUCCAGGCUGUGCCACCUCCCUGGAGCUUAAUCCUGACCUCCCAGGCUCCUGGAUCUCAUUCAGCCUCCCUGCUCAACUGUCUCCUACUGGUGAUCUCCCUAUUUCUUUUGGUGGAGCCACAACUCCACCUGUUAGCCAGGCUGAAUCUAGAUAUCAACCUUGACUCUCCAUCUCUGUUCCAUGCCUUAUAUUCUAUCAGCUGUUCCAUUCUUUACAUUCUAUCAGCCAAGAAAUCAAUCCUUCUAGAAAAAUGUUUCCUCUAUCCCCUUCAGAUGCUCUACAAAACUGUCAAAUAUACUUUUCUAAAAACUACAUUAUUAUCACUUCCAACUUUACAAUAUGAGCAGCUCCCAUUGUGCACCAAAUAGAAUGCGGUCAUCUUUGCCUGGAAUUCAAGACUCCUGUUCUCUCCCAACACCUCCACCAUGAACCCUCCUCUCCAGCCAGCUGAGCUCCUCACCAACCUGACACAUUGGCUCAUUUCCACCUCGGCCCUCUCGCCAUCUUCUUCCCUCUGAAAGGCUCUCUUCUUUUUCCAUCUGGCCUAAGCCUGCUUACUCUUUGGAGCUCCAUCCUUAGGGAGACGUUUUCUGUUCAGUGACAUUUGUAAAACACUGAUUAAGAGCAUGCACUCAGGAGUCAGAUUUCCUUGGUUCAGAUCUUGCCUCCACCACUUACGGGCUCUGUGACUGUGAACAAGUUACUUAAUCUUACUGUGCUCAGUUUCCUCAUCUGAGACACUGAGAUAAUAAUAAUCCCUACCUUCUAGAGUGUUAUGAGAAUUAGUUAAUAAACGUACAAGGUUGUAGAAGGAUGCUGACACAGAGCAAGUGCUCCACAAAUGGUAGGGGUUAUAGGGGUUGCCCCAGGACACACUGAUCUAAGCUUCUCACACCCUACACCUAAUGUUCGUAACACAAAUCUUGGGAGACACACACACAUUCACACACACACACGCACGUAUACACACUGCUUUGUAGUUGUAACCUUUUCAACUCCCUGUUCCAAUUCUCUAGUGGAAUGAUCCCUUCUGAGCAGGAACCGCGUCUUACGCUUGCCUACAUCACCCACAGCCUGCGCACUGGCACAAUGCUACGCAGACAGCAGUUACAGGUGACCGUGUGCAGAACAGCAUAGAAGUCAAUGAGUGAAACUGAGUUGAAUAACUUGUCCAACGGCUCUUCCUUCUUCGCCCCCAUGUCAUCUAACAUGAAUUAAGUACAAAUGCUGAGAGUCACUAGAAGAAACUUUAGAGAUCAUCUGGUUAGAUUCCUCAUUUUACGGAGAUCAAGUGACUCACCCAAGGUCACACAGCCAGUUAGAGUCAGAGCUGGGAACAGAAUCCCUGGGGAGUCCUGGGAAGAGAGUCUGGCCUGCUUCCCAGCAGUGCAUUGGAAAGGAAGUAUAUGUUUAUUAUUUCGAAUACUUAACCAAAUCCUGACCGAAUGAGUGACUUAGAGGAAGUUUACGGCUGAUGGCAAGACGUAACUGAGCAGACAUGUAGUCACCACGUAGAGAAACUCACAGAAAUGAUAAGUAGAUCAUGGUCACAGAAUUUUGACAAGGUCAUCUUUCAAACUUGGCAACUAUACAAUACUGAUGAAUAGGAGUUAUUUAUGUUAACAACUCACAUUAUUACAUUUCUGGCAAUUCUAAUCUUAUGAUGCAGAAUAAGCCCAUCACUACCUCUCUGUGGGUCACAUAAAAAAAGAUCCCCCAGCUCUGCUUAGCUGAAUGCUCCUGGCCACAUCUUUGGGGAAGAAUAGGCCCUGGAGGAGGAGUGACAGAAGACAAUGGAGCAAGCCUCUGCCACCCUUGUUAGGAAAACAAGCAGUGGGUUACUAAUGGGCUGGCGUACAGCUACAGUGAGUGUAUUAUGGCCAAGUUAUAAUGGUGAAUGCAGAGGCUGUGAGCUGAGCCCCAUUCGCACCUGGCACAAUGAAUUCACAGCAGAGAGAUGCACUGAAUCUCUUCUCUUGCCAACAUUUUCAAAGUGCCUGCUCAUAUGGAUGCCACUCGGCUGGUAAUCUUCCAAACAAACACCAGAAACCUAAAGAAAUAGAUGGCUUUCUUAGUGUAGAGACCAGAAGGGUGCUGGGAAUUAGGUUCAAGUCUUGUUUACUUUUAUUAAAAGCAGCGCAAACUUGAGAAAACCCCUUAGCCUCUGUGGGUCUAACCUAAUCAUUUGUAAAAUGUAUGGUCCAGGUCCCAUCAGUGGUUCCCCAAACUGACUGCGUAUAGCGAUCACUGGGGAGGUUUUAUGCUCUUCUCCUUGGCUCUUCUUUCACAUCUCUCCAUCUUAUCUUCAAGGCCUGGUCUCCAAAAUUAGGUAAUCAAUCACUCAGUGAAUCAGUCUGCCUCCCCAGCCCAUGUUGACAGCUUCUUUCUCUCCUUCCCAUCAGCCCUCAUGCACUCACAUGUGACCAUGAGCUGUCCACUGUUGCUCUGUAAUUGUAUCUGGUAUGUAUGUCAUUUAUUCCACUAGUUCAUAAGCUGCGUGCGGUUGGGACCACUUCUGGGUUUUUUUCACAUGGACCUUUCUGACUUAGCGGACUGUCUUCACGUAUAAAUUAGGUUAACAAUAACUCUAUUUGCAUGCAUUCUGCUCAGCUGAACACCUAUUAAUCUCAAGCUGUGACACUCUUGCACAGUCACUCCUCUUGCUUUUAUAUGAAUGGUUGCUGUCCCAUGUCUCUUCCCCCACGAUGCCCACCAUCUGAUGCCAUAUCUUGUGCCAUUCCAUGAGCCUCAAAGGUAAAUAAAUGUAUGAAGGCAUGUUCUCUCAGAUCAUUUCAGGUUGGUCCCCAGGGUCCCACACCCCUGCCUUGUCCCAUCUGCCGGGUCAAGUUCAUAGAAGAGCAGGCUUGUUAUAGGGUAGGGUGAGCUUGUGCUGUCUGACCUUCCCUGCAAGGCAAAUGAAGCACCACAUCGAACCUGGGUGCUAACAGGUAGGGUGGGACUGGGAGCAGGGCUUCAGGCAGGGGGAAUUUGAACUGAAAGGCAAGUCCAGGGCAAGGUCAAGAUCAAGUCCAACAGGCAGGCUGUGCCCAGGAUUUGAAUCGGCGAACCCCGCGCCACGGAAACGGAGCGUGUGAACUUGACCACUGUGCCACAGGGCCAGCCCCAGUAUAUCUAUAUUUUUUAAAGCAGAGUUUCAUUUGUAAAAUACAUGCAAUCACUUAAUGUUAUACUGUAAACAAUGUUCCAUUUUACAACAGUCUCCAAAAGUAUCAUAAAAAAUAGUCUGUAAUAUUGCUAUAGUGUCUUUGGUUUGAUGCAUUAACUUGAUUUUAAUCUUCUUACUAUAUUUUAAAGCUGUGUAAUGCAUCUGGGAUAAUCAAACUUAGACUUACCAGAAUGCUCAAGAAAUUCAAUGUUUUGGUUAACACCACAUUCGUUUUAAAUGAGAGUUAGCAGAAAAUAUUCCCCCCCAAACUAUAUAACAUGCUUCAACACAUUUCCCCACCUUAAUGACUGUCAGACUGCGACUAGCUGAAUCUUAGAGUACCUUAGGACCAUUCAUCUGAAUAUCAGUGAGUAUCCCGCAGUGUUACAGACAUCUAGAGUUUGUACAAGAUUGAGAUCCACGUCUAAAACAAUUUUUAAAAGCAAAAUUCCUGAAAAACUGGCUGUUUUCUGGUGAUUUACCUCCUUUGGGUACAGUCUUGUGAAUAAAAUUAGCCCGUCUUUAUUGAGAUGGCUUAGUAUGUGUGCCAAGAGCUUUCCUUGCAUGACCUCAUUCUAGCCUGACAACACCACAAUGAGACUGGUUCUAUUAUUGCCCUCCCCCGCCCAUGUCCUGAGCGGAACAGAGCUGUGUUUUCGUGCAACCUGAACAGUGUCAGAACAUCUAGUACACCCAGAGAAGUCCUGUAUCCUGCUGCCCCCGCCAAUCCAUCUCUGGGGAAUGUUGGAGGGCCCGGCGCUGGUGCCGUUGAGUCUGGGAAGAGGAAGUUCCACCUUCGGGGCUGGAUAAGUUAGUUAUUUUUAAUUCGACUGUUUUCUGGAGUAGGAAUCCAUUUGAAGGUAAGUAUCAGGGUUUGGCUGCAGCAUAUUCUUUUGAUUUCCCACUGCCCAUUGGACCCACGCAGCACCUCCGGGAAGUACGAAACAAAGGGUGAACACCCGGAUUUUCAAGGAACCUCAUCAUCUCCAUUUGUUCUGCUCAGAAAAUAAAGUAAAACAAGCUUUGGAGAAAAGUGAAUUUGAAUUAAAAAGACACCUGAACAUUAAUAUGAAUGUACUUACUGCCAUUGAACUGUAUACUCAAAAAUCGUUAAAAUGGUGAAUUUUAUGUUAUGUGUAUUUGACCAAAAUAAAAUAAAAUAAGGCGAAGGGGAAAAAAAGACAUCUUCCUUAGGACAACAGUAGAGUAUUAUCCACAAUAUUUACCAAAAUCUGUGCAGAUUCUUUCUCAACAGUGGGAUUCUUCUUUUAAACACGUCUUAACAUCUUUCUCUUCUUUUAAAAUGUCCCCCGGACCACACUCGUCUUGAUGCUGGAAGCGGGUUAGCCUGGCCUGGAGCCUGCUGUCUGCCUCCUCGGACCACCCUCCUUUGUGUUGUCUGUGGGUGGAGUAAGCUGUUGCCAACUGUAGCUGAGCGAAAACCAGAUGCCCUCCCUUCCCUCUAGAAGCUAUUUAUUGUUUGCAGAGGAAUCAGCCAUCAAAGAGAUCUCCUGUGCCCCUCCCACUCUUCCAAUGUACAGUUCUCGACUGAAAAAUGCUAACAUCCGACCAGACACCACAGAAACAUCCUGAAAGACAAUGCCUGGACCCUGACUUUUCUAGGGAACAGGCCAGGGUUUCUUUUUGUCCACAUCAGCCCAGCUUGUUUUUAUUGCUGUGACCUUACUAACGUCUCCCUCUUCUUACCUGGCAUGAUUUAUGUUUAAGGCAUCGUCCAGGCCACUUAUUUCAAGUUUCUUCUUAUUUUAUUCCUGAGCUCAGCAUUGUGCCACGAAUUCCCCUGCUCUGAACUCUGGAAGUGUGUUGUGAUGAGAUUAAAGAACCAAAAUAUUUCCAGAGAAAAUGGAAAUGGAUCAUGUUGAUUGCUCAGCAGAAGUUGAUCAGAUGGUCCAGAAUAUUCUAAUAUUAAUGUUUUUUAUAUUAUCAAGAAAAUAAAAGCAAAAUUUAAAAAACAACUGCAAAGAAACAUUAGGGCUAAGAAUAUAUCCAUAGGCUCCAGUUUGUGGAAAAUUGAUUUGGGGUGCAUGGAGGCAGGAGAGGUCCUCUCAGCCUGGGAUAUGACAUGGUCUUUCUCCUAAAGGCAGUGAGGAGUAAUAUCCCUUACACUGUGGUCUAUAUCCCUCUGUACCUUCUAUGAAUUUCUAAUUAUAAAGGCUUUAAGUCAAUGACUCAUAAUUGUCCUUAGUUUCACCCUAAAUUCAUCAACAUGGCUGACAAGGCCCUCCAUGUCUGACUCCUGCUUAUGUUCCAGCAUCAUCUGUCCUUGGUCACAUCCUUCCUCCUCCUGCCUUGAGUCACCCCAUCUCCCCAACACACCUCAACGCCCCAGGUGCUAUACUCUUCCUUGUUCUAGGCAGUUCCCUCCUUCUGGAAUUUUCUUACCUUCUCCUCCUAUUCCCUUCUUUACCUGGUUAACUCUCAGCUUUCACAUAGUAGCUUGAGUUUUCUCCUCCCUGACCCUGUACUUCUGCUAGCAAGGCACUCACACAGCUAUGUAUUAAAAUUGCUUAUUUAAUAGUUUGUCUUCCCAUAGGAGUAAAAGUUCUGCCGGUAUAGAGGUCAUGUCUAUCUUGCUCACUAUCUUAUCUCCAGCAUCUACCUAGCACAGGACCUUGAACACCCUAGAUGCUAAAAAAAAAUUGUUGGAGGAGAGGAACAAAAUAAAUCAAGGGAAGGCAGGGAGAUGGUGGAAAAAUAGGAGAGCAGGAAGCAGGCAGGGCAGAGGAGUCAGGAAAUAGAGCAUUCAGUAAAUGGUAACAACUAUUGUCAGAAAAAUGUCUCUGCUGUUUCUGAUCUGAAAAGAGAGUGGAGCUCUAUGUGAUCAGAGAUGGACUGAGUCUGGAAUUAAAAUCUGGAUCAAUUUCAGACUUCAAAGUGCCCAGUGCUCUGGGAAGACUCAGCAGGACUCAGAGCUAUCAAUGAAUUUAUCCUUGUAGGGGCACAUAAACUCACAAAUGUGUACCCCUUUUUAAAUUUAUUUGUUGGGAAAUUGAAUUCUAUAUUGUUUAGAACAUAACUUGAAACUGUGACUACUGAGUAGCCUAAAAGGGUGAAAGAACCGUGAGCACAAGUGUGCACUUAUUGUACUCAAUUAGUUCUCAUUGGAAAUGCUUCGUUUACUGGGGAAGGAAAAUGGUAACACAGCUGAAGCCCGCCAUCUAGUGGACUUUCUAAAGACAUGGGUUUGCCAAUGUGAAGGAAGGAGCAAGUAUCACAGAAGAGGAGGCCUGGAAGGGCCCCAAGAGCAUAUGUCAUCCUGGCUCCAUCAUCUGGGGGGAGGUCCAAGUCCACCUUUUAGGAUGAGGGAUCAUUUAUGGUCUUCUGACAGAGCUCUCCUUUCUAAAUAGCCCAAUGAAAUGUGUUAACAUUCUGAUGUCUAAAUAGUUAUCCUAAAUCAAUGCGAAAUUUCAAUUACUUUCAAUUCAAAACUAUCCCAGCAAGAAAUUAAUGCACCAUGCUGGAGAAGUAUAUUCUGUUCAUUUUUGUGUUGACCCUUAACUUUAAAAGUCAGAUUUCUUAGUCUAGUACCCAAGGAACAACAACAACAAAAAAAAUAGAUAUCAAAUCUAUUUUCCCUGAAGCUAGCACCUCCAUUAAGCCAAUAGUGUUCUUCAAUCUACAUGUAUCCCACGAGACAUAUCUCAGAGCACACAAGCAGGGCAGCAGCUCUACCUGGGCACCAGCAGGCUGGGUUUUAAGACUCACACUGUCAUUCACCAGUUUGUCUCCCUGGACUAGAUGUCUAUCCUCUAAGAUUAGCAGUUUCCUCAUUUGUUAAAAAGAGAGGCUUAAGUAUAAUAACCACUAAGGUCUCUUUUGGCUUUAAAGUUCAAUGAGCUUGUCCCCAGAUUCACAGGUCUCAUGAUCACAACGGCCUGGCUUGGACCCACUCCAGGCUCAGCACCCCCAUUACUGCUCUUUCAUUGAACUACUUAUGGAGGAGUGACAUCAGCAUUAUGGUGGCAUGAGACACUCCCUUUGUAUCUCCCCUCUGAUUUACAACUAGUAAGACAUCCAUGACUCAGCAAAAGUUCCUGUGCCCAAUACACCAGGAUGCCAGAGAGAUCCACACAUCUGAAGGUGGGUGGAUUAGAACACACAGGAGGCAUAACUGGGGGAGCAGCAGAGGCGGUACCUACAAUCCCAGUCCCCCAGCUGUGGCAGCUGAGCCCACAACCCCAGGGAACCUGGUGGCAGCAGUGGAGGUGGCACACACGACUCCAGCCUCCCAGUCACAGCAGCACCUGCAGCCACAGGAAACCUGGCAGCAGUGCUGUGGCCUAUCACCCCAGACACUCCAGCCACGGUGGUGCCCAUGUCUCCAGCCCCAUCACCUGUGUUGGCUGUGCCUGCAACCCCAGCUCAUCCUCCACCUUCACCCUCCCGCCCACUGCAGCAGGGAUGCCCAUGACACAGGCAACUCUGUCUGUCAUCCUGGUGCCCUCAGUGGGGAUGACAGUGACCACAGUGACACUGGCCACAGCAAGGCACCAGCAAACCCGGAGGCACAAGCAGCAAUGAGAAGGACAUGGGUGACAUCUCUGGCAGAGGUCGUAGAGGGUAGAAAGUGCCAGUUUUCAAAUAUAGCCAGAGGAAGCUCAAGUAAGAAAAACCAAAACUUGUGCUACAGUGCCACCUACUGAAAAAAAGGGAAAAGUCUCUAAUUACCAACUUCUUGAAUUGUAGACUCAAAGUAAACAAAGCUUUAUUUAAAUAAGAAAAAUGUCUGCUACCUCAAAUGCGCCAGCAGAGCAACAACUCAGCAAGCACCAUGAAAAACCACAGUCACACAGUAUCACAGAAAGAAAAUGACAAUUUUCCAGAAAUCAAACUUAAAGUCACAGAAGAUUGUGAUCUGAUAGAGAAUCCAAAAUAACUGUCAGGAAUAAAGUCAACAAGCUACAAGAAAACUCAGAAAGGUAGUUCAACAAGCUCAGGAAUAUAAUUAAUAAACAGAGGAAAUACUUUACCAAAGAGCUUGAAAUUUUAAAAAAGAACCAAACAUAAAUUCUGGAGCUGAAGAACUCAAUAAAUGAGAUGAAGAAUGCAUUAAAAAAGCAUUGGAAGUAGAGCAGACUAUAUGGAAGAGAGAAUUAAUGAGCUCAAAGAAUAACAAUCUAGAAAUGAAUCAGGUAGGAAAGGAGAGAGAAUUGACAUUUUUUUAAAAAUGAAGUAAUUUUACUGGAACUAUCUGACUCCAUUAGCAAAGGCAACAUAAGGAUAAUGGAUAUCCCAGAAGGAGG